Molecule: ribosomal RNA, 501 nt
Filed under: uncultured bacterium
Lineage: Bacteria
Description: bacterial SSU rRNA
Rfam family: Bacterial small subunit ribosomal RNA
Source: RNAcentral
GCGGCGGACGGGUGAGUAACGCGUGGGUAACCUACCCCAAAGUCCGGGAUAACAGCGGGAAACCGCUGCUAAUACCGGAUGCCUUUACCUUGGGGCAUCUUGAGGUAAAGAAAGGCAACGCUUUGGGAUGGGCCCGCGUCCCAUUAGCUAGUUGGUGAGGUAACGGCUCACCAAGGCGACGAUGGGUAGCCGGCCUGAGAGGGUGGACGGCCACACUGGGACUGAGACACGGCCCAGACUCCUACGGGAGGCAGCAGUAGGGAAUAUUGCGCAAUGGACGGAAGUCUGACGCAGCGACGCCGCGUGAGCGAUGAAGGUCUUCGGAUCGUAAAGCUCUGUCCUUGGGGAAGAAGGUCUUCGGACUUGACGGUACCCAAGAAGAAAGCCCCGGCUAACUACGUGCCAGCAGCCGCGGUAAUACGUAGGGGGCGAGCGUUGUCCGGAAUUACUGGGCGUAAAGGGUGCGUAGGCGGCCCUUUAAGUCGGAUGUGAAAGCCCGCG